RNAcentral lists this ribosomal RNA (647 nucleotides) under uncultured bacterium. RNAcentral's name for it is "bacterial SSU rRNA". It matches the Rfam family "Bacterial small subunit ribosomal RNA", at positions 110 to 753 of the family's 1533-position model. The record is from RNAcentral.
GUAAUACAUCGGAACGUGCCCAGUAGUGGGGGAUAGCCCGGCGAAAGCCGGAUUAAUACCGCAUACGACCUACGGGUGAAAGCGGGGGACCGAAAGGCCUCGCGCUAUUGGAGCGGCCGAUGGCUGAUUAGCUAGUUGGUGGGGUAAAGGCCUACCAAGGCUACGAUCAGUCGCUGGUCUGAGAGGACGACCAGCCACACUGGGACUGAGACACGGCCCAGACUCCUACGGGAGGCAGCAGUGGGGAAUUUUGGACAAUGGGCGAAAGCCUGAUCCAGCAAUGCCGCGUGUGCGAGGAAGGCCUUCGGGUUGUAAAGCACUUUUGUCAGGAAAGAAAUUGUCUGGGCUAAUACCCCGGGCCGUUGACGGUACCUGAAGAAUAAGCACCGGCUAACUACGUGCCAGCAGCCGCGGUAAUACGUAGGGUGCGAGCGUUAAUCGGAAUUACUGGGCGUAAAGCGUGCGCAGGCGGUUUGUUAAGACAGUUGUGAAAUCCCCGGGCUCAACCUGGGAACUGCAAUUGUGACUGGCAGGCUAGAGUUUGGCAGAGGGGGGUGGAAUUCCUGGUGUAGCAGUGAAAUGCGUAGAUAUCAGGAGGAACACCGAUGGCGAAGGCAGCCCCCUGGGCCAUGACUGACGCUCAUGCA